RNAcentral lists this ribosomal RNA (253 nucleotides) under uncultured bacterium. Its description in RNAcentral is "partial 16S ribosomal RNA". It matches the Rfam family "Bacterial small subunit ribosomal RNA", at positions 524 to 776 of the family's 1533-position model. The record is from RNAcentral.
UACGGGGGGGGCAAGCGUUGUUCGGAAUUCCUGGGCGUAAAGGGCUCGUAGGCGGCCAACUAAGUCAGACGUGAAAUCCCUCGGCUUAACCGGGGAACUGCGUCUGAUACUGGAUGGCUUGAGGUUGGGAGAGGGAUGCGGAAUUCCAGGUGUAGCGGUGAAAUGCGUAGAUAUCUGGAGGAACACCGGUGGCGAAGGCGGCAUCCUGGACCAAUUCUGACACUGAGGAGCGAAAGCCAGGGGAGCAAACGGG